This 909-nucleotide ribosomal RNA is filed under the name marine metagenome. RNAcentral's name for it is "bacterial SSU rRNA". It matches the Rfam family "Bacterial small subunit ribosomal RNA", at positions 8 to 913 of the family's 1533-position model. The record is from RNAcentral.
AGAGUUUGAUCCUGGCUCAGGACAAACGCUGGCGGCGUGCUUAAUACAUGCAAGUCUAAGGAGAAAGUUGUCUUCGGAUAACGAGUAAACUGGCGGACGGGUGAGUAACGCGUAGGCAACCUGCCUUUAAGAUUGGGAUAACGUUUGGAAACGAACGCUAAUACCAAAUAAUAUUCUUUGAAUCAAAGAGGGCUUCGGCUCUUGCUUAGAGAUGGGCCUGCGUCUGAUUAGCUAGAUGGUAAGGUAAUGGCUUACCAUGGCAACGAUCAGUAGCUGGUUCGAGAGGAUGAUCAGCCACACUGGGACUGAGAUACGGCCCAGACUCCUACGGGAGGCAGCAGUAGGGAAUUUUGCGCAAUGAGGGAAACCUUGACGCAGCAACGCCGCGUGAUCGAAGAAGCUUCUAGGAGUGUAAAGAUCUGUCAUAGGGGAAGAAAUACGUAUAUUCUAACACAAUAUUCGUUUGACGGUACCCUAUAAGAAAGCUCCGGCUAACUAGGUGCCAGCAGCCGCGGUAAUACCUGGGGGGCAAGCGUUGUCCGGAUUCAUUGGGCGUAAAGGGCUCGUAGGUGGGCUGACCAGUCAAAAUUGAAAUACAAUGGCUUAACCAUUGGAACGGUUUUGAUACUAUCAGUCUUGAGUGAAAUAGAGGUAAGCGGAAUUCCUAGUGUAGCGGUGAAAUGCGUAGAUAUUAGGAGGAACACCAAAGGCGAAGGCAGCUUACUGGAUUUAUACUGACACUGAGGAGCGAAAGCGUGGGUAGCGAACAGGAUUAGAGACCCUGGUAGUCCACGCCGUAAACGAUGAGCACUUGGUGGUGGGGGAUUCGACCCUUUCACUGCCGGAGUUAACGCAUUAAGUGCUCCGCCUGGGGACUACGAUCGCAAGAUUGAAACUCAAAGGAAUUGA